RNAcentral lists this ribosomal RNA (847 nucleotides) under Subramaniula cuniculorum. RNAcentral describes it as "eukaryotic LSU rRNA". It matches the Rfam family "Eukaryotic large subunit ribosomal RNA", at positions 50 to 930 of the family's 3401-position model. The record is from RNAcentral. Lineage: Eukaryota; Fungi; Ascomycota; Sordariomycetes; Sordariales; Chaetomiaceae.
GCGGAGGAAAAGAAACCAACAGGGAUUGCCCCAGUAACGGCGAGUGAAGCGGCAACAGCUCAAAUUUGAAAUCUGGCUUCGGCCCGAGUUGUAAUUUGCAGAGGAAGCUUUAGGCGCGGCACCAUCUGAGUCCCCUGGAACGGGGCGCCAUAGAGGGUGAGAGCCCCGUAUAGAUGGACGCUAAGCCUGUGUAAAGCUCCUUCGACGAGUCGAGUAGUUUGGGAAUGCUGCUCAAAAUGGGAGGUAAAUUUCUUCUAAAGCUAAAUAUUGGCCAGAGACCGAUAGCGCACAAGUAGAGUGAUCGAAAGAUGAAAAGCACUUUGAAAAGAGGGUUAAAUAGCACGUGAAAUUGUUGAAAGGGAAGCGCUUGUGACCAGACUUGCGCCUGGCUGAUCAUCCGGUGUUCUCACCGGUGCACUCUGCCAGGCUCAGGCCAGCAUCGGUUCUCGCGGGGGGAUAAAGGCCCUGGGAACGUAGCUCCUCCGGGAGUGUUAUAGCCCAGGGUGCAAUGCCCUCGCGGGGACCGAGGUUCGCGCAUCUGCAAGGAUGCUGGCGUAAUGGUCAUCAGCGACCCGUCUUGAAACACGGACCAAGGAGUCAAGGUUUUGCGCGAGUGUUUGGGUGUCAAACCCGCACGCGUAAUGAAAGUGAACGUAGGUGAGAGCUUCGGCGCAUCAUCGACCGAUCCUGAUGUUUUCGGAUGGAUUUGAGUAGGAGCGUUAAGCCUUGGACCCGAAAGAUGGUGAACUAUGCUUGGAUAGGGUGAAGCCAGAGGAAACUCUGGUGGAGGCUCGCAGCGGUUCUGACGUGCAAAUCGAUCGUCAAAUCUGAGCAUGGGGGCGAAAGA